CCGGCGCAGCCGGACCCGAGCGUCCCACCGCCGCCUCCCCUCGGGGCGCUGCCGUCGCACCUCUGUACCUGCAAAACAAUACCCGCCGCAGGUAAAAAUGGGUGUAACCGCCUCCUAUGGAAUCACAGAGUCGUUAAGUGAAUAGGAUCUUGUUUAUGACCAAAGCAGUACUGAGAAAAGAAAAAAAACUCUGAAUGACAGAUUUUUCCAAGUGGUACAAACACACAGGAACAGCCUAUUUUAAUGUAAUAUAAAAUACUGCAGUCCCAUUUUUUUCCCACUUCUGGAUUGUUGAAGUUAACGAUCAAAUGCUCUGUCAAAACUUCGUUUCUGGCCUCUGCUUCUGAAUCUGUUUCUACUGGAGCUACCGCGCCGCCCAUUCCUGGAACUUGAGAAGCUUCGGCCAUUUCCUCCGCCUCCUCCUCGCUGUGAUUCUACUAACUCAGGUACCAGAAGUAUGAUGAACAUGCACUAAUCAGAACUAAGCAAUCCUGAUCUAUGUUCUGCCAUUAAGGCACAGUAAACACAGUUCACACCUUUCACCUGUUCCACUCUCCCUAUGGCCAUGCUAUACACUGCAUUAUACUACCUCCUUAGCUUGUCAGCGGAGCAGAGCCCUAAGCCCCCGAGAUGCCUAAGCCCUAAUGAAACAGAUUGAGGCCCAUCCUGCUACCAGAGUCAUGUCCUUAUCAACAGAGCCUGGAACAGAGGAAAAAAGGCCAAAUUUCUCCUGACAAUUGCUGGGAAAAGGCUACAACCAGGAGAGCUCAGCUGCAAAGGUACAAAAAAGCUUACCAUUUUUCCCUUGAGGAAACACAUUCUGUUCACCUUCCUGUCAACAUCAUCACCCAACAGUUCUCGCAGUCUUCGCCAAGCAUAGCUCAUAUUGUUUAUUUCUUCAGAGCAGUGUAGUAUCAUUGUAACAAAUCCCUAAGGAGUAAGAAAUGGAGCGUGCUCCAUUCAGUCAGAGGAAUAAGCUUCGGCACAUCUAUCAGACAUGAGAAACAGCUCAUAAACUAAGUUUUCAAGUGGAUACUGUUAUGGGAGAGCAAGUGUAUUUAUACCCACUAUAUUCUUGCUUGUAACUAAAUUAGUAGUUCCUAGUGGCUUUAGUACAGUUUCCAUAAACAAAAUCAUAUGGAGACAAAUAAUUAUCUAUUUAAACAAGAGUGAGGUAUGCUGUUUUUUUUCAGAUUCAAGACAAACGUUAAUCCAUACACCCUUACCGCAUCCGAGUUCAGCAGGGAGCGCUGUUCAAUGGAAGUAGCACCUGAAAUAUGGGCUAGAGCUGCAGCCAAAGCAUUAACUGGUCCCUUUUCUUGUAUUAAGAACCGAGCAGAUUCUUUGAAAUACUCGAUAGCAGUUUGAGGAACAGAAUCCAGACACCUACAUAAUUAAAGGGG
Molecule: non-coding RNA, 1403 nt
Organism: Phalacrocorax carbo (great cormorant)
Lineage: Eukaryota; Metazoa; Chordata; Aves; Suliformes; Phalacrocoracidae
Source: RefSeq, a predicted model, not a curated record